AAUCCCCUUCAUCUAUUUCACCCGUCGCCCCCACCCACCUCCCCUUUAUGGUAACCAUCAGUUUGUUCUUUAGAUUUCAGAGUCUGGUUUUUCUUUGUUUCCGGAGAGUCCAUUCCAGCAUCUGGAACAAGAAUAAGAAGGAAAGAUUCGAAGCAAUAUCCCAAUACUCUUUAGAUUCUAUCAACUGUGAGACACUAUGGAUUUUCAAAGACGGCUGACUGCCUUUCAUGCCUCUGAACUCCGCCCUUCCUUGGCAUGAUGGAGAAGGAAAAUGAACUCAAGACCCACCUAGUACAGCAUCUUAAAUCUAAUUAGGUACCCAAACAAGCGAAUUAUUUGAACUCAACGCAUCCCAAGUUGCAAAAGUGGGCCAAGUCUCUUGGCUCCUAGGACUACAGCUUUGCCUCCUUCAGGAGCUAGAGAGCUGAUGCUCAGGAGAACUGCAGGUAUGCGCCAGGCCCCGGGAAGAAGCACACCCUCCUGUGUAAUGCGAAGGCCACGGCCCAGACUUCAUUCUCCCCGGGUCUCAGGGUAAGUGCAACAGCGGAGGAAAAUCUAACCACAGAAGCGCGAGCCCUCUUUCCGAGUGAUAAUGCUGCCUAGCAGGGUGCCUUGGGAGAGCUCGAUUGUACGUGCCGGCCCAUUUGCAGAAGACCAGGGAGCAGGGAGCAGCGCUGUAUUUGAGAUCUUGAAGGACCUCGUGGUGCCACUGGAGUCGGAGACGCAAAAGGAAAAGAUGAGGGUAAGUCGGACUCUGUCAGUUUCCUGGCAGUCCAGCCAUCUCCAGGCUCAAAGGUCUCCCGCGUACACAGGUGCAAAUGAAAUGAUAUUCGAGAGUAAGAAUGGGGACAAGCAAGCUUCCAGGCUUGGAGAGGGAACAUGAACCCACUGACCAGUGAAAUGAUCCCCAGAUCAUUCCAGAAUCCCAGUUUGCCUGCACACGGGGACAGCAUGCCCUCCAAGAGACUAACAGAUAAAUGUAGCUCCAGUGCCUAUGAACUUCUCUCAGUCAUGGCAAAACACGGAUCUGCUAAAAGAGUCUGGGAAAGAAGAAUCUGAAGAUGCGUGAAUGAGUAAACGAAAUAAGGGGCAAGGCAGUUUCCCUCCUGUGACCAUCUUGAGCAGUCAGACAGCUCUCCGAGAUGGCGUAGAUGAAUCUCCCCGUCACUACUCCAUGCUGAAUUGGCCAUGGCUUGAACAUGGGUAGGUUAUGGGAAAACUUGGAGUCUGGCUCUCUGCUGAAAUCAAACUUUUCCUCCUCCCUGAUUUUCACCAUAGUCACUCUUCUGGAAAUUACUUGCACGUGGUUGAUAGAGUAUCAGUCUGGGGCUAAGAAAAUGGCAGCCAGGACCCAUUUGGUCAUAUGAUGAGCAGUAACAGGAAAAAACAGGGAAGAGAUAAAACCUAAAACUGGGUGGGCCUCUGCCAAGGGGAGGAUGUCUAGAGCUCUUCUGCUUUCUCAACAAAAUUACAAAAUUAUGCGCUUUGACUCGCGUGGCUAAGCAGAUGUUCUCUUUGCUGCAAAUCUAUUAGCUCCUUGCUUACUCUGCCGAGUGGGUGGCGCAAGAAAAGAUGAGCUGCAGAGAAGGAGCCGGCAGUGGCAGGAAAGGACACGGGGCGUGAGAGAUUAGGAGCUGAGGGACAGCGACCCUGAAUUGAGACGAAAGGGGCUUCUGAAGGAGCAAGGCUGCAGCAUGUUUAGUUAACGUCUUUCCAACAAAGGAGAAAUUUUGUGCAGCCACAGAUCAUUUGCAAUUCAAAGAGCGAGAGGCAAACCGAGUUGAGAACAUACUUUGUGUGGAAAGGCAUUCAUAGUAUCCAUGCCCCAAAUACCUCCCACCCAAGGGAAGUCGUCCGGUACAUUUGAGAGCUUUUCGCUGACUUGGGGCCCUCAGUGCCACCAUUUUCCCUCUUUCUCCCUCUCUCCCUUUCCUCUUCCCCCUUCCAUACUGGUUGCCUGUCUGUCACUUCAAUUCAGUCCAGCCAUCUGGAACUUUCCCUACUAGAUAAUAUCUCCACCUCAAAUUAAAAAAUGGCCCUUUCCUACUUGAUCAGAGCCCUGGUAUCUGGAUGGUUGAGGAAGAUUGCCGAAUGGCAGUGUGAGGUGGAGAUUUCCUGGGGAUUUCAAUCACCUUGCUCCCCCUCUACCCUUCAUGAUAAAGGCUAAUCAGGAGGGGAAUGAAAACAACACGCAAUCUUAGGAGAAAUGAGGAAUGGGCCAGAUGCAACCCACAGAGGCUGGCUGAGAUUUCAAUUUUCUUACUGUAAUGAAAACUGCAUUUCCAUGAACCGUUGCGGUAGAAAUUACUUACCGGCGGUCACCUGUGAUAGCAUCACCCCGCGGCUCACGUGGUGGGCACGGAUGCCGCCAGGGACGGUUGCUGAAGCGCCUUCUCGUGAUCACCUUCCGCUCGGUCCUCAGGGUGCCGCAGAUGGGCGGAGGCGGCGCUUCCGUGUGGGAAACGAGGCCCGAUCCAGAAUAUGAUGGAUGGUCAUCGCUGUGCUCUUCACAUGUUGUGAGAAUUCUGGGUCAUUUUCUCAAGUUUGGAAUUGUGGAUGUGGCCGUGGCUGUUUCCAGACAGAAAACAGUGGAAUCCUGGAAAGAGUCAAACAAUCAACUGUGAUUUUGUACUUCAAUCCAGAUGAAUUAAGCAAGCAGAUCCUUUGGGUUUUACACAUCUAUGAAAUAUCAGGCCCUCGUGUUCUCCUUUUGGGGUGUUCUUCCUUGAAAAGAAUGCACUUUCACUAUUUAAAUCAUAUCAGUAAAUAGUCAUAUUGUGUCUUAUGGUUUUUUGGUCCUUCUGUCUUAAAAAGAAUGAUUUCAAGAAUGAAGUUUCACAUGCCAAUUUGAAUAGUUUAAUUUUUGUUGGAAUAAUUAGUUCCCUUCCUUCUCAUCUUUUUCUGAACCCACUGGAAAAAAAAAAAGACAAAGGAGAGAGGCAGAGAGACACCAAAAUAACAUCUUUCCUAUUGAUAAAGCUGACAUUGGAGAAAGUGGAAUAUAUCUGUGGCCAAAUGGACUUCCUAAUCCUGAGUCCACGUGCUGGCUGCACCAGCCGAUCUGGUCAGAGGCAGAAGCAGACCACUGCUGGCCUCCACACACGGUAAGCAUGGAGAGAUUUACUGCUGUGCUUGCCAUGGGUUUGACAGCCAUCUAGAGCAUGUUUUCUCUGCUAUUUCCUAAAAGGAAGAAGAGACAGGAAGGGGCUGGGCUGUGCAUGCUUGGUUUCUUCUCACAGAUUCCUCAAUUAGGUAAGUCCCUCUGCUGUCCAGGGGAGGGGUGAAGAAGGGCUCCAGGGAGAUACUCUGCUAAUGGGGUUCAUGCUGCUGGGGAAAGAGCUCCUGAGUGGGAAGAAGCACCCUCCCUAAGAAAGUCUUCAAUGACAAAAUCUAUUGUAGUAGGCAUUUUUUAUUUACCAGUUUUGAUUUCUAACCCCCUCUCCUCCUCACGUCUCGUUGAACAUUCUAAUUUGAGCAAGAGAAAAAACUGCAUAGUAAAAAGAACACUGGAGACCUGGGUCCUGGUUGGGCUGGUGGGUAAGUCAAAGGGGCUCUCCGGGUCUUGCCUUCCUGCAGUCUGAGAGUGUAGGAGAGGUUGGUCCUUGCUAAAGCCAGUCCUAUGGUCUGCCUCCCAUACCUUUCCUUCCGGGAACCUUGCCUUCUCUUGUAUUUUCAACUUCUUUUCUCCUCACCUGGGUUCCUUCCAUGUGCUUUUAGACAUUUACAGAUCUUUCCCACUUAAAGACAAUAUCCUCACUUGACACCUGCCCUUUCUAGAAGCUUCCUUAUCUCUGUGUCUUCUUU
Molecule: long non-coding RNA, 3804 nt
Organism: Panthera uncia (snow leopard)
Lineage: Eukaryota; Metazoa; Chordata; Mammalia; Carnivora; Felidae
Exons: 3
Source: RefSeq, a predicted model, not a curated record